This 63-nucleotide transfer RNA is filed under the name Eophreatoicus karrkkanj. Its description in RNAcentral is "tRNA-Met". The record is from RNAcentral. Lineage: Eukaryota; Metazoa; Arthropoda; Malacostraca; Isopoda; Amphisopidae.
UGAAAGAUAAGCUAAAUUUAAGCUAAUGGGUUCAUACCCCAUCAAUGAGUGAAUCUCUUUCAA